Molecule: ribosomal RNA, 502 nt
Filed under: uncultured bacterium
Lineage: Bacteria
Description: partial 16S ribosomal RNA
Rfam family: Bacterial small subunit ribosomal RNA
Source: RNAcentral
GACGAACGCUGGCGGCGUGCUUAACACAUGCAAGUCGAACGGUGAAGGGGCCUGCUUUUGUGGGCCCUGGAUGAGUGGCGAACGGGUGAGUAACACGUGAGUAACCUGCCCCCUUCUUCUGGAUAACCGCAUGAAAGUGUGGCUAAUACGGGAUAUUCUGGGUCUGUCGCAUGAUGGGUCUGGGAAAGAUUGCGCCUUUGGGUGUUUUUGGUGGGGGAUGGGCUCGCGGCCUAUCAGCUUGUUGGUGGGGUGAUGACCUACCAAGGCGGUGACGGGUAGCCGGCCUGAGAGGGUGGACGGUCACACUGGGACUGAGACACGGCCCAGACUCCUACGGGAGGCAGCAGUGGGGAAUAUUGCACAAUGGGCGCAAGCCUGAUGCAGCGACGCCGCGUGAGGGAUGGAGGCCUUCGGGUUGUAAACCUCUUUCGCCAGUGAAGCAGGCCUGCUCCUUGUGGGUGGGUUGACGGUAGCUGGAUAAGAAGCGCCGGCUAACUACGUG